This is a long non-coding RNA of Dama dama (fallow deer), 574 nucleotides long. RefSeq lists it as uncharacterized. Lineage: Eukaryota; Metazoa; Chordata; Mammalia; Artiodactyla; Cervidae. The record is from RefSeq and is a predicted model, not a curated record. The transcript has 3 exons.
CCCGCCUCUUCGUCUUCUGCCCUCCUAUGCCAUGAGGUCGGGGGCAUCUACAGGGCAGCCUCACCGAGGCCCCUCUGUCUCGGGGCUUUCCGAGCUGUCUGCUAAGGGGAGGCACCAGCAGGAGAUGGAAGGGACCGGGCGGUCCCAUGGGUGGCCGCAGCCCCCUCCCCGCCCCAGCGCUCUCUGCCUUCUGUUGACCUGGUCCCUCCAUCAUCAGCCCGCCAGUCCUAGAGUUGGCAGAGACGCCUGCAGGCACUGGUGUCCCAUCUCCUCGCUUGUCACGCAGCCUGGAGAUCCUGAUAAGGAAUACGGAACUAAUAGGCCACCACCAGCCGGAAGAGUUCGGGAAAGAUCGAGAGGAGACACUACCUGUCCGUCCACUUCCCAGAAUCCCUCUCGCUAGCAUCCAUCUUGGCUGAGCGAUGCGUGCGCCACCAGGAAAGACUCUGAAUUAGAAUGACUGGCCAAAGACCACCCGGAAACUAAUCCCAUCACCAUAAAACCCAAGACUGCGAGCCAUGCGGCAGAGCAGUUCUCCUGGGUUCCCUUACCUACUGCUCUCCACCCGGGAGCC